UGUUACUCCAUAAUUGAACAAUGUUUGUCAAAUAAAAACAAAAAUGCUACAAUAUCAAAAUCCAAAACCUUUUUGAUCUAAACGGCCUAAAUAUUUUUAUAACGUAACAAUAUUUAUAGACAAAAAGGAGAUGAAGCUCUUAGUUCUGCUGAAUUUUAUCUCAUCCACGAUGACUUUGUAAGACUUUUAUGCUCAAGACUGUUAUUGGUAACUUCAUCAUUAAUCUGACAAUAAAAGGUAUAUUUGCAUCCAGACACGGGAUGAUGCCCCCCACAAUGUUCCAUCUUAUUUAUAUUUACCACCAAACAUGUAUCCGAGGUAGCAAAAUAAUCAUGUGUCAUUGCAUGCUUAAGAAUAGCAAUCUCCUGCACUUGGAUACAACAGAUUCCCCUGCCUUGGAACCUUCAAGUGGUGGUGCCAUAGCAUAAGUAUACUUUCCCCAAUCUUAAUAAAUUAUUGUACGUGUUUCAAAUGCUUUGAUGAUGGUAUCCAAUUCAUGUGAAUCCCAUCUCAUAAGAAAGUUGGGAGGCUUCAUCAUGAUCAUCUGGCUAGAAGCUAGCGUCCUCUGUUGUGGGCCGCCUCAAGAAAUAGCGCAAGCUAUUAGAAAGAACCUGAAGAUACGAGAUAAAUCAGAAUGUGGCAACAAAAUGUGGUGCUGACAUGAGUUCUAUGAGAAUCAGGUGUAUAGGAAAAACUCAAGAAUGGGCAUUGAAAGCCUACCUGUUUUAAAGCCUCCAUCAGUGGUUUGCCCCUGUAGCUGACAUGGAAUUUUGCUUUAGCCAGUAGCCCCUACAAGAGUAUAAAAUGUAAGGAGUUGAAUAUGGUUACUUGCAUGAACAGACACACUUUGCAAAAUCAUUGUCACCUCAGUAUCAAACUCUCCAGAUUGGACAUUAAUGUUGAUGUCUGAGAUGAUCUUAACAAGGUCAACCAGCAACCCCGGACGAUCCGCUGUUUCCACCACAAGUAAGCUGAAAUGGAACAAUAAAGAAAUUCAAAAUCACUUGAUAUUAUUAGAGACUAAAGUAGGCAUUUUCGUAUAUCCAGCAUUUAUGUUGAUGAAACAAUAGCUGUGGAUCAAGCAAGGAAAGCCCAGUACAUAUAUGUAACUAGUAGAUGUAGGCAAUGCGUUUUUUUAUUCAAAGGGCAGAUAUAAACUCUUUGAACAUGUCCUUAUGUUGCUUUUUGCUGGAUGAAAUCAAAUCCUUUGGAUUGAUGAGAGAAGAGCAUAAUUUUCUUUACAUUUGAAGAAUAAUGCACAAGGUAAGAAAAACGGCAUACCUUCUUUCAGGGCCAUCAUAGAUAUCUAUGUGGGUUGCUAUGUCCACAUCAACCUACCAAUGUACAAGUGAACAAUGUUAUAUUGAUCAGUGAAGGUUUUCAUGUCUCCAGAACAGACACGUAAUUCUGACGCUGUACUUGGCAGCAAUUUGAUCACUAUUGUACCAUGGGAAGAUCAAUCAAGUCUGUUCUACUAUAAACAGAUCCAAUAAUAAGGCGGUGCAGAUAAGAAAAUUUGAUGCAAUUAAGUUUUGCAAUGAAGCAGAGACAAAAAGGAAAUAAACAGCUCACUUCGAGACAUUAAAGAAAUGUGUCUUUUGUACACCGUUGUGUGCUAAUUCUUUCUCACGAUAGAUAUAGACAAAUAAGAUGGUUUCAUGGAUCUCCAUAGAGAACUGAGAAGUUUUCAGUUCAUAUCUUAAGCAUUUAGAAGAUGUAAUUCUAUGGCAUAGUUUAGGUAAUACCUCUUCUGUAGGGGCUUCUGGCCCAAAAGUUGCUCCCAUAGCCAAUUGACUGCUGGACUCCUGGCACCAAAUUAACAACAUCUUUUUUAUUAUUAUUAUCACUGUAAAUUAUAAAAGGAAAAGGAAAAACAAAGUUAAAGUAGUUACCGGAUGAUACACUAACAUGUUGUUAAUGAUCGUCAGUCGAAUUGCUUCUAACAACUCUGGAUCAUCAAUUUUACGGCCAGUGGACCUGUAGAGCAUUCCUGUCACUCAUUCUAGGCAAGAACUGAUAGAUGCAGGAAAGUACAAAGAAGAAAGAUGUCAUAUUCUGUAGUACAAGGAGACUAAACUUAAAUGAGAGAUUCCUCAUGUCAAGUUUUACAUAUCUAAUGAAAUAUCAAAGAAGAUUCACUUACGCUUUAGUUAUAGAAAACUUGUUAUGCUUGCCAGUAGAAUCGAGACAGACACUAGCUUUAACGACAUUUAGCCCCAAGUUCUUUAGGGCAUUCAUCUAAUAUAUGGGAGAUGUUAAUAAGAUCAUAUCGUCCGUUCGAGAAAAAAAUAAAAAAUAUCAUCUGGUCAAUAGUGAGAAUAUACUGAGAAUUUUAUGUGAAUAACAUACUGUAUCAAGGAGCUCGCCAAGACGAUCACCCAAGGUUAUUUCUACAAUUGUUGCAUCCGGAUCUGAGUCUUGAUCUAUUAUAACUUUCGGGAUAGGGACUAUAUCAGUGUUGCUCCAAUCCUGCUAACCAAAGUAUACGCAGUUAAACAAGCAAGUUCACCCAAUGUUUUAGGUAACCUGUACUAUGUACCUCAACCGCCGCAGCGGAAGUAGCCCUUGGAACCCUCACAGCUGGAGAGGACAAUCUGGAGGUAGGAAAAGAUCAGUUAAAAACACUCCAAACUGAAAAGAAGCAACAUAGUGGAGUUCUAUAUAGAGAUGCUAUGACACUGUAAGACACAGAACAACAAAUAACAGUAGGUUAGUAUUAACAUCAUUGCAGUCUGAAGCAACUAGACUAGAAGCCUCCAAAGGAAAAUUCAUGCAAUAUUUUCGAAAUACUACAAACAAGUGUACUAUUACUUCAGCUUUUUAUUAUGAUAGACUAAUAAAUGAAACCCCAACUUUUGGCUGCAUACCUACUUGCCGCUGCAAAUGGACUCGGCAAACUGUAGAAAUGAUGCCAAUUCUUGACAUAAAAAUGUCAUACAGACGGAUUUCAAGGACAUAUAGCUAGGGUGUUUUGUUCUCAGGCUAAGUUAAUAUAUUUUUCCUGUAAUUAACUAGAAAAUUAAGAACUUAAACAAGCUUGGAAGAAUGAUGAUUGCGUAAGGAAAUUUGUGGAAGCUGCUUCCAAGGCUCACUCAAACUGUGAAAUGAAAAGCAGGCAUGUGGUGGUUUUGCCAAUUAGCACCACCACUUAGCCACAAUAUAUCAUCCAUACAUGAAGCCAAGCAAAAGCUGCUUUGCAAUCUUUAACCCCUUUUCGUUAAGCAAAGCAACAAAUAGCAUAUUCUGCGGUCUACCACUCAAAUAGAAUCAAUGAAUCCAAGAAACAAGCCAUGCCAUCAUGAUGUGAAUGAAUGAGCAUCCUGUACUAAGAGCAUCUCCAAGAGUCUUUCUAAAGCCCACUCUCUAAAAUAUCAUUUGGAGAUCUAUUUGCAUAAAAAUUGUUUUCUAUAUCUUUUCACUUUGCAACAGUUUUUUUUUAUAUCGUUUUCUAUCUUUGGCUGGCAAGAAAUCCAAAAUAGAAUAUGGCUAUAUUAAUUAAAGAAGCUGUUGGACGAUAUUCUUUCACCGAAAUAUCUAUUCCUAGCAAUUAGGAAGGAUUAUUAAAAGUAUCUUGAAGUUGCUCUAACAAAAUUCAAGAAUGAAGCUAAACUGUACAGUCCCAACCGAACAAACGUAUAUUCUCUGCAAGACAACUGCAACCUUUGAAACAUCCUACCAAGGCAGAAAAGAAAAAUGCUAAACGAAGGCGCAGAGUUUGGUGAAGCGCUAAGGGGAUGGCCAAAAACUGAAUCUUGGCCAAUGGCCAAUCCCCUCACCUCAAGUUGGCUGGCGCAAGAGCCCGCCACCGACCAAGAACCGCAGCACGGCGGCCGCCGGGCGCCGUUGGCGACACGCCGGAGCACGUCCGGAGGGUGCCGUUGGCGGCCGCGACAGUCACCGCCAUUUCGGCCAUCUCUCCUUCUCCAAGAAACGGGCCGACGGGAUCCAAUCCGAUCUAGCAACCCAAGUGGGAAGAAAUAGGGGCCCGGUGGACGAGGAAGGCAGUGCUACAAAGGCGACGGCGAGGGCGAUGGGAUCAUGACGAUGAUGCCUGCGGCUGUCGCGGCCGCUCUAUCCAUAUCUUGUCGCGGCUGGCGGCAGUAGAGGGAGGAGGGAGACGCGUGAGAAGGGGCCCGUCCUCCGCUCUCUCCUCACCCUUUAUUACCACGCUAUCAGUUUUCGGCCUUGCUUAGUUCACCCUGAAAACCAAAAAAUUUUCAAGAUUUCCCAUCACAUCGAAUCUUAUGGCACAUGCAUGAAAUAUUAAAUAUAGACGAAAACAAAAACUAAUUACACAGUUUAGCUGAAAAUCACGAGACGAAUAUUUUGAUCCUAGUUAGUCCAUAAUUGGAUAAUAUUUGUCACAAACAAACGAAAGUGCUACAGUUCCGAAAAGUUUUCACUUUUCGGAACUAAACAAGGCCUUCUUCUCUAUGGAAAUGUGUCCCUUUCUUCACAGACAGAAAUCUGGAGUUUCUGAGAUUCAAAAAAAUUCUGGAGUUUUUGAGACAAUUGGAAAUACAUAGUACAAGAUAAUACAGCAAAGUCCACACAAUACCAAAAUAUCUGCACACUGAUGUGACAUCUGUACUCAAACAAAAUAUAAGGUCUUGUUUAGAUGCGUAAAGAUUUUGGAUUUCACUACUGUAGCAUUUUUGUUUGUUUGUGGCAAAUAUUGUCCAAUUAUGGACUAACUAGGAUCAAAAGAUUCGUCUCGCGAUUUAUAGGUAAAUUGUGCAAUUAGUUUUUAUUUUUGUCUAUAUUUAAUACUUUAUGCAUGUCGAAAGAUUCGAUACGACGAGAAAUCUUGAAAAUUUUUUGGUUUUCGAGGUGAACUAAACAAGACCUUACAAUUUGUGAAAAAAUCGACAUCAAACUAAAAUCCAAGAGGGGGGGGGGGGGGGUGGGGGGGGGGGGGAAGUAUUGCGCAACGUGUGGGAAAAAAACGAUAAGAGUAAUCGACAAAAUACCUGUAACAUCUAAAGAAGUAGCAACGUGAAGCCACCUUAUACCACUGUUGAGAAUGGACAAAACUGAGUUCUUUGAUAUUUUUUUCAUCCUACCAAACACACACGUGUUUUUUAGUUCUUUAGUGCUGCGAUUUUACGGAACUGGAGUAGUGAAGAAAUUUUUAUUUUAAUCAUGGUUGUUUAUGAUUUCAGCAUGGUAUGAACAUGUUCAAUUGUACGUGUACCCACACGCACUCUACUCUACUUUUAUGAAUGCCUAUAAAAGACUUGGCCGAUAAAUUUUGAGACCCAUCAAGUUUUAUUAUUUGGCAACUUUGUUUCCAGAGCCUCGCCUCAUGAGUUAGUAUAUUAUUUGUUUCACCAAAAACAAGUAUGAUUUUUAAGUAGUCAUGCAAAGAACCUCAUUGCAUUAGGCCAAUCCUAGGUUUUAGAGAUUUUAAUCUUAUUAAUAGAUGUCACAUAAGCAAACGUAACAAUAUGGUAAGGAAUUUACAAAGAGAGAUAAAAGAUGGGUUUGAUUUUGAUGACACCCGGUAAAAAAUGUUUUAAGCGUGUGAAAACAUAUUCAAAACUGCCAUUGAGGACUCGAGAGCUUCAUUUCAUCUAACUGUGCUAGCAUUCUAACUAUGCUGAAUCCAAUGCAUCGUAACUUAAUGUGUCCGUCUCCAUUAACAUUUAACCCAUAACAUUAAAAACGAGGCGGUCACACUAUAAGGCCCACCUUCAUAAAUCCAUAUUAAAAAAGGAGACGGACACAUUAAAAAGCCCGCUUCUAUUAAUCCAUAUCAACAGAUACGGUCGUCUUAAGGUGCCCGCCUUCAUAAAUCGAUUUUUGUAGACGGGCACACUAUAAGGCCCACCUUCAUUAAUCCAUAUUAGCAGAGACAAUCGUCUUAAGGUGCCCGUUUUCAUAAAUCGAUUUUUAAAGGCGGGCACAUUAUAAAAGCCCACCAUUAGAAAUCCAUAUUAAUGGAGGCCGUCGCCAUAAGGUGUCUGCCUCUAUAAAUUGAUUUUUGGAGGCGGACGCACUAUAAGGUCCGUCUCCAUAAACCAUCGUCCCUAUAAAUACAGGAAGUUAGAAUUUUUCCUUCACUUACUCUCCCUCUCUCAUUCUCUCUCUCCUUAGAAAAAGGUGGCCCCGCUCCCUCUCCACCGAGCGUCACGCGUAGGCCAAGGGAGGAAGGCCUCCCCCUUCCCAUCGACGGCUGUCCCUCCCUUUGGUGGCUCUCCCUCCCUCCCUCUUAGAUCCGGCAGCACAGGCGAUUCACCCUUCCUCAACUCGGAGGUCCAGUGGCAGCAAGGCAGCUCUCCCUCGAGAAGGCCACAAUAUGCCUUAAUCCUCUCUCUCUCUCUGAUCUAGGGCCACCCUUCACCUCACCUUCUCUAUCACAGAUCCAUGGCGACGACGACGACAAGCGGCUUCUCUAGCGGCGGUCUGCUCCUUCUCCUGAUCUCUCCCAUGGCGCGGUGACGGUGGAUUGGGUCAAUGGGGGCAGGUGCAGGCAACAUGAUCCAGAAGAUGGCUGGAUUCGACGAGCAGCUUCUAGAUCCAGCUAGCGGGCACAGUGGCAGUGUAGAUCUGACGUGCGAGCACACCGAUGGUGCAGAUUCGGCUAGCAGUGCCUGGGCUCGGUGGGCUUUUUUUUGUUUUUUCUGAUCAAUUAACCGAGGCAGGUGUUAUAAAGUGGCCACCUCCGUUAAAAUAUUAGUGAAGGCGAACAGUUAUAGUGCCCCACCUCCACUAAUCGUAUUAAUGGAGACGAUCGCUUUAUAGUACCCACCUCCGUUAAUACGAUUAAUGAAGACGGAUAGUGUGACCGCCUCAGUUAUCUAUCAAUUAACCGAGGCUUUUUAGGCCAGUCUCAAUGCAUAGUUUCAUGGCACAGUUAUCAAGAUUAUAAACUAGGUAACCGAGCUACAUGAGUUUCAUGGGGAUGAAACUCCUCUCUCAUUUGAUGAAACUCCUUCAUUAAUGAACCUGUCAAGUCAGCAUUUUUGCUUAUGUGGCACCCUAUUUAAUGUGCAUGACACUCUCAUGAAACAUACAUUGAGAUUGGCCUUAGGCCAGUCUCAAUGUAUGCCACAUAUACAAAAUUGCUGACUUGGCAGUGUCAUUAAAUGAAGGAGUUUCAUCAUAUGAGAGAGGAGUUUCAUCCCCUUAAAACUCUUGUGGCUCGGUUAUCUAGUUUAUAGUCUUGCUGUGUUAUGAAACUAUGCAUUGAGACUGACCUUAGAGACGGUUGGAUAGGCCCGCCUCCAUUAACUAAAAACAACCGUCUCUAUUAAAAUUUCUAUAAUAGUGGUUGUAUAAUAGAUUUAUUAGCUAGAGAAGUCAAGCUCGGAUAUCAUGAGGAUAAUAUCUGUCUGUGAAAGCUUCAACUCCUAUAAUCUGUGUCAGUCAAACUUUUUUUAAAUUUGACCAACUUUAUAGAAAAGAGUAUCAAUAUCUAUCACAUAAAAUAAGUAUCUUAUGAAAAUAUAUUCUAUGAUAAAUAAAGUGAUAUUAAUUUGGUACUAUAAAUCUUAGUGUUUUUUUUAUAAAAAUCCAGUCAAAGUUUUAAAAAUUUAACUUAUGACAAAUCUAGAAGUUGAAACUUUUAGGGACAGAGGUAGUUUGUUUUAUACAAAUCUGGGAAUGGUGUUGUUCCCUACGUCAGGUUACCUACUUUAUUUGCUUCCAAUAAUAAAACUAUACAGGAGGGUUGUUGCAAAAGGAAAAUACAAAGAUGGGCCAUAUGAUUCAUGAUUGGAUCUCAAGCAUGUGGAUAACCAACCACUUGCCUUUUCCUUCUUUUUGCGGGGAAUAUGAAUAAAUAUCCGGGUACACACAUUAUUGGCUUUUCUGCUGUCGAUAUAACAAAUGAAAAAUGUGACAUUUAACGUGUCAUGUUCACUUUAAGUUACCGCAUUAUUCCUGUGGAUUCAUAUUUUGAAAAACAGAGUUCCAUACCUGAUCUUGAAAAGCUACCGGCGGUGCAGGAGCUGGACUGGCAAUCAACAUGCUCCUUUCUCUUGGCCUACUACCUUUAAUUUCUGCCCUUGUGGCUACGACUGAAUUGAAUUGAGAGACUAGUGGCCUAAUAAUUAAUAGAGAUAGAUCUGUCUGGUGCACUGUGGCACGAGAGGCCGAGUCAGCUUCCCUUCCGUGUGGAUCCUGAGGUCCGGAGAACGCGAACGUGAACGUGGUAGACUGAUACGAGUUGCCCCUCACCACGAUUCUGUCGCUCGAUCUACAAGUUUCCUAGCUCCCGAUUACGUGUCUUUCUUUGGGUUCGUAGCCAGCCACUUAAAAUCAAAUACACCAGCAGUUGUUGCUUUUUCAUCAAAAGAAAAAACACACAAAAAGUCAAAAAGAUCUCAAGAGUCCGUUUUGGCAAUACAUUGGGGAAGCAUCUUCGUUCGUCUCUCUCGGAGCUUUUCUUCCGGUGGUCGACCUCAACCUAGCUACGGCCUACGGGUUCAUCCACUAGUUCACCUGCUCAAGCACUGCACCCGCAUCGCUCUGGAUACCGUUGCAGCGUCGCUUGGUGGAUCUCUCACCCGAAGAUGUCGUGCCGUGCUUUCUGCCGCUUCGCUUCACCGCCACGAGCCUACAUCACCACAAGGGAAACAAAACGAAACGAUCGUGUGCAGUACCUGUUAGAGAAUUAGGCAAUUUUCAUAUCAUUUUAAUUCCAUAAAUCAAGAUUAUGAUGAUGACAUAUAUAAUAUAAUUAAUCAUAUAAAUCAUCACCAUUGAACAUGUUCGUAACAAUAUGGAACAUGUGAUUAUUAAAAAUAUAAAAACAUAAUAUAUGAAACAUAAUAACAAGAUAAGACAUAUAUCUCAAAUCAAAACAGCAAUAAACAAGAGACUACAUGUUCAACGACGAAACAAAACUACUGAAACAUAUGGAAAACAGUAUAUCAAACGACGUGACAGAACCACUACACAACAGCAUAUGAAACAUUUUGAAUUAACCAGCGAAACAAGCAGACAUGACAUAGAUCUUACAACAUACCCAUAUAUAAGAUAGAAACUGAAAAGAUAUGGUAGAACACCAGGAUAGUAUGCGCAACAACAUGAAAACACUACUGCAACAUGUACGAACAGGAAAACGAAACGCAGCCGGAAGAUGAACGGAUCAUACCCUCCCAUGCGCUCCGAGGAUCCCGAUCCUUGACCAACUUCCAUGAUGUAGACGAUGAAGACGAUCUUUCCACCGGGAAGGAGAAAUCCGCCCGAACCAGCUUGAGGAAGACGAACAACAGCGAGGAAGAUGAACAACAACGAUGGAUUGGACAGUCGCGUAGUCGCUCCCCAAAAACCUAAUUAUCGAUCCCUCGUGCAAGGUCUCGAACGGCAAAGGCUUCGGAGGCAUCUGCCCUCUCGCUCGUCGCGCGGAGUUACGAGAUAGAGAUUCCUUCUUUGCAACAGGAUUGUGUUCUGAGUGGUGUGUUGUGUGUGUCCAAGGCCAGAGGCUCUUGUCCUCUUUAUAGCCUUGCGGCGGAGGAGGGAGGAGAGGAAGGGAUGGCAGCCGAAGAGACAAGCAACUGAUGAGUUUAACAUGGAGUUGAAACUCUUAUAAUUAGUGAGUGCUAAAACUUAACACACCACUACAUCGCACGCCUGCAUGCCUGGCUCCCCUCGCCUCGCCAUAUCCGGUACAACUCGUAGUAUUCACAGUUACAUACACAGAGUUUAUUUGAUUUAUUAAAUCUAAUUGAGCCUAGCCCAAAAUAAAUCCAACAAUCCCCACCAAACUCUAGGGUUUGUAAUAAUGAAGUAUUAGAAUCACAUUUCUUUGAUAUACUAGUGUUUCGAUGGAGAAUGUUAAGCUGAACAUCCAUCUAGAACAAGAGUUUCACCCACUCACAAUUGAACAAUGGACUAAGCCUUGAAUUGAUAGUUUUGUGCGGUAUGAGAUCUGCUCCAGUCCUUAGCUGAUACUAGGCUGCACGAGGCAUCCCUGCUAUUUUGAAGAAUAUAAAUCACACUUCAGUGCCUUUCAUGAGUAUUUAGGGAUUACCCAAGUCCCAUAGACUAUGACCAGUAGUCUGACUCAUAUUGGUGUACUCCUCAAAAGAUGUCUGUAGGACAAUAUCUCACUUUAAAAGACUCUUGGAAUACAUUAAGGUAAAUACCAUCCUGCCUUACAAAUAGGAAAGAUGUGCAUAGAAAUGAGUCAAGAAAGGGAUCUUUCCUCUCAAUCUACUACUAGCUUGUUUCACCACUCUACUUCACGGGAUCUCCGAUCACAUAGAGUAGGUUACCACUACAGUAGAUUUCACGUGGGUCUCAUACCCAUUUCUCUCAAUGCACUUUCUAUCACAUUGCGUGACAGACCCUUAGUGAAUUGAUCGGCCAGAUUAUUCGAUGUGUGGACAUAAUCCACCGUUAUAACUCCAGAGGUUUUCAGCUUUGUAACAAAUUUUAAUCUUCUUUUCACAUGCUUUGUAGACUUCAUGUUAUUCCUGGAACUAUUGACCUUUGUAAUCACAAUCUAGUUGUCAUAGUUCAUGGAGAUAGCUGGUAUCGGUUUUUCAACUACCGGUAAAUCCAUCAGGAGUUCACGAAGCCACUCGGCCUCAGCCCUAGCAGUGUCUAUUACUACGAGUUCUGCUUCCAUUGUAGACUUCGUUAUUGUUGGGCAUUUUUAACGUCACUACCAAAAGUAGACUUAGUUUUCUAAUUCUGAUAACGGCGCCAAAAAUGCCAAACCUGUCACAUCCAUAUUUAAAGAACAAAAUAGGAUGCAUAAAAGACUCAUAUGUGCCCCAGGGAAAACGUAUUUUUCUCCGGGCGCCUAGGGACUGCGGGUUAAUUGUGAAAUCUUCCAGGGACUCUUAAUCAAAAAGGCCGCCGAAGGGGUAUCUUCUAAUCCUAUCCCUUCAUCUUCGAUUGGACGGUCCACAAAUAGCAGAAGGGAGCCAGGCGGCGGCCGGCCACCUCCCAGAGCGCCAGCACGGUGGCCGCCAUGGGCGCCGCCGAGAACCUCGCCGGUAUUACUUCAACUCGCAAAUCCGUGCACCAAAAACCGAGCCAAGGACAUGGGAAGGUAGAGGAGAAGGUCGCGAGCUCACCUAGGCGCUGAACUUGGGCCGAGAGUGCGUAGAGGAGACGCGGCGCUCGCGGUGGCGGAGAAAGGCGCCGACGAGAUCCGAAUGCGCAGCUGCGUGGCUAGGGCUUGGAAAGAGCGCUCGGGUGGGGAAAACAAGGCAUGGGGCGUCGCGAGGAACUUUAUAGGGCUUCGGAUUACGCGCUAGGCAAGGAAAUCACGAAUCGAAUCCCAGGGAUUGGAUUCGGUAGUGGUGUGCCCGGCCUGAGUCCCGAUCCUUCACAGCUGGGGGAAGAAGGAAAGGGCACUGGCGCGUGGGUCCCGCGUCGCAGUGAGAGAAGGGGCAGGGCCUAGCCGUCGGCUGAAGAAGGAGGGGAGAAGUGGGCCGGGACGCGGGGGAGGGGAGAGGUGCGCGGUUGGGCCGGUUGGAGACCUGGGCCGCACGCGAGGAGGGAAGAAGAAGGAGGAGGCCGGGGGGGGGGGGUGAGGGGAGCUGGGCCUCGGCCUGGAUCCGAGGGGCUUUCUCUUUUUUUUUCUUUUUUUUUUCCAAUUUAUUUUUCCAAAGCCUUUUCCAAAGAGAGUUUUGAAUGCAAAAAAAAUUCUCACCAAAAACAAGCAUAGAAUAAAAUGUGUUCCAGCAUGAAUGCAAGACAUGUUUCUAAAACUUAUGAUAAAUUUUAAUUUGCACAAAAUUAUUUAUUUGCUAGAUUCAAAUGCUCACAAAAAUACUUAAAUAAUCAAAUUAAUCCCUAUUAAUUCAAAAGCAAAUUUUUGGGUGUUACAAAUCUACCCCUCUUAAAAGAAUCUCGUCCUCGAGAUUGAGCAGUGUACGACCCUCUCCAAUCAUCCUCUCUUUCCCCACUUGCUUAUGCCUCUUAAAACCAAUUCCAUUGCACUAGCAAAUUCAAUGUCUCUAGUCAAGUAGCAUACCUAGUAGCUUUUCUGAGAAAUCACCUGGAAAUUUAUUCAAUGCACGAUCCAGAAAAUCAAUAUCCUCAUCAGCUGGUUCACUGUAGCUGUGGGUGGAGCCUGUACUACUACAUCAACACUUAUUCUAUCUCCCUUUGGUGUUGUCACAACUACUACUUUCUCUUUGCACUUAAUCUCCGUAGAAUAUUUCUUCAUCCAAUCCAAACCCAAUAUCACAUCUAUGCCUGAGGUUCUCAUAACCAUGGGACUAACUGGGAAAUCUACCCCCCUUAAAGAAAGACUUGCUGAGGGGCAACAAUAUGAAACUGGUAUAGUCCCUCCCGGUGAGUUUACUAGCAUAUGGGUUUUCAAGGCAACUAGUGGUAUGCUAUGAACUCUAACAAAUGCUUGUGAUAUGAAUGUAUGUGAAGCUCCAGAAUCAAAUAAAACUGUAGCGGGAAUAGAGUUGAUACUGAACGUACCCAUCAUAAUCUCCGGUCUCUCUUGUACUGUCUCUGCAGCCACGUGGUUCACUUUUGCUCCAUUAGAAUUAGAUUUUUGAUUGUUGUUCUGCUGGUUGAACCUUUCCGGGCUAUAAGACAUGUGUCCUUCCUUGCCACAGUGAAAACACCUAGUAGGAGUAUUGGGAGCACUUCUCUUCAUAGAGGUGGCAUUUGAAUUUCCUGAGCGGGGAAUCUGCUGACCACUCUACUGUUGAUUAGGAUUACGCUGAGGUUGUUGGUUGCGAUCCCAUUGACCAACCGGUCCCUGGUACCUCUGUUGAUCGCCCAGCUGAGGGUUGAAACGUUGGCGGUUGUUGCCUCCAGAACCUUGUGCCAGCAUCCUCCUCUUCUUAUCCUGACCUUUGCGCAUGUUAUCUAACACAAUGGCACGGUUCACCAAAGGCUGGAAGGUAGGGUAGGUAUUUCCAUCCAGUUGCAAUCUGAGUUCAUAGUAAAGACAUUUCAUGAAGAGACGUUGUUUGUCAGUAUCUUCUCUGACUUCGUUUGGAGCAUAGCGAGCUAACUGUUCAAAUGUGUCAUGAUAUUCUGCCACAGUCAUGGAGCCCAUCCUGAGGGAUCUGAAUUCUUCUUAUUUGAGCUCCAUCAUUCCUUCAUUUAUAUGUCGAGCUCUGAAGUCUCUACAAAAUUCCAGCCAUGUGACAGGAGGAGCAUUGUUGGGACGAGCAACUUGAUAUGACUCCCACCAUGUCUGAGCUGCCCCCUGAAGCUGUCCAGAAGCAUACAACACCUUCUCCAAGUCAUUGCACUGUGCUAUGUUCAGUUGCCUCUCCACGGCACGUAACCAAUCAUCUGCCUCCAUAGGAUCAGCUGAGUGUGUAAAUACUGGAUCUUCCCUUCAUAAACUCCCCACGCUUAUCCCUCACAUGAACAGGUGGUGGUGUUGGUGGAGGUUGCUGCUGUAGGUGCUGCAUGAAAACGUGCAUCAUCUCAUUUUGGGUUUGCAUGAGUUCCUCCACAGUAAUUGGGUCAUUACCACCAUUGCCACAGCCUCUGCCUCUGCCUCUUCCCCUUGCUGCCAUAUGCAUUCCGAGGUAUAGAAACAUGUCUUAGUAGUGUCCAACAUGACAAUUACAAGAGGUAACAGAAUCUGAAAUUUUCUGGGUAACAUCCAACAUCAGCAGAUCAGAAAAUCAGUCAUAUCUUGAGUUCCAGAAUUCAAAAGGAUACAUGCUGUAUACCGUUGGAAAGAUAAAGAAAUUAUCUACAACUUUUAUUUAUACCAUCUUAACAUAUUCUGUCGUUAAAUGAGUCUAAACUGGGCAUAACAAAAACUGUUCCAGAAUUACAGACUGUGCAGAAACCUCAACUUUGAACAGCCAUAACUCCCAGAUCAUAACAGAUAAUGGUGUCACUCUUGCAGCAUUGGAAAGAUAUGAAAGUCUACUUGUUCCUAGAAAAAUUUGAUGAACAUUGCAUGAACAGAUUUUGAAUUACACCAGAUUUAUUGCAGACCGCUCCAGAAAACAGCAAAGGAGAGAAACAGGAUUUUAACCAAACCCAACUAUUUAGUUCAUUAAUCCUUAUGCCUUAGGCCUAUAAACUAAAUGAAAUUGUAGAGAGAAUCCACAAGAUCAUUACACUCAUUACAAAGAUCCAAAUCAAUCAUGAACAUAAUAACAAACCAAACCAAGCAUCAAAGAUUCACACUUCAAACAUUGCCUCAACUUGCGGUACUAUCGUUCUUUUCCUAUUAAGGGCAAAGAUCCUAAAACACCUAUCUCAAAGACGCCAGAAGGUGGUAAGAAAAGGUUCUAAAAGCAUAUCAAGCAAGGCGUGGGGAUGAGAACAAGUCUUUCAAACAAGCAACAAGGUGAAGAUGAAUAGCAAUGAAAAGGGUAUAGGAUAAGAGAAAAUAUCAAGGUUUAUAGAACAAGGAUUUUGUAGCAAUUUCAAAACCUUAAGACGACCAAUUUCUAACUAGGCUUGCGUCCGACAGUCAACAAAGCUUUGAUACCAAUUUGUCACACCCAUAUUUUAAGAACAAAAUAGGAUGCAUAAAAGACUCAUAUGUGCCCAGGAAUAGUCGCACACAUAAGUAGACAAAUCUCAAAUGUACCAUUGCAGUGUUUAUUACAUAGCAGAACAUAAUAAAUCACAUAGUCUUACACAAAAAUGAUAAUAAUAUUAAACAACGCUCUCGACGGAAGCUCCACACAGGGAUACUGUUGACUGGUUGACUCCAAACCUAGUACUCAUAACGGUAGUCCUCAUUCCAGUCAUCUUCAUUAUCAUAUCCUGAGGUGUUGGGAAAUUUGCAAGAGUGAGCACAUAUCGUACUCAACAAGUAUAACCAGGGGUUCAUGAGGCCCAAAUAGCUGACAUUGGUUUGACUGCAUUUAGCUUUUAAUAGUGGAUAGCAUGUUCAUAAUUAAAUAGCAAAAGUCAAGGUAGCAUAAAUAAUCCAUUAAUCACAUGAUCAAGUGUAAGCAUAAUUAAGCCAUAGCAUAAUCGAUAAUCAAAUGAACAUAACAACUUAACAAGCUCAUCAUCGUCGCAGCAAGAACCUCCAAGGCCGCUCUUAACCGUGAGCACGGCUAGUAUACUAGUUUUAACACUCUGCAGAGGUUGUACAUCUUUACCCAUGAGUCAUGAUUUUCCCUUUCGCCCGAGGUAGCUAAUCUCUUAACCCCCUUCCAAGGGAGGUCGACAGGGAUCACUAUGAAGCCUUUCAAAAGUUCGUCUAACAAGUUAGGGCCGCAAGGUUUCCUUCGCGCGCAGAUAUAGAGCCCCCCUUCCGAUGGCACAAUGACUCGCAGCCUAUACACAUACAGACAGAGGCCACACUAUACCCAAAACGGUUCAGCCCCUCCGCCCUUUCAGGUAACCUCUAACAAGCUAGAAAAGGUCUUCAUACUGAGCUAAAGCCAGAGCCAUUAUAGCCCUCAUGGUUGCACUGUUGUCCCGGUGAUCACUUACAGACAAGAUCUCAUAUAGUUAUUUGUCAUCAUUUAACAUUCGUUGCAUAGCUAUUAAUCGUCUUACAAGAUCAUGGAUUAUAUCAAGCACUAGCACAUCUACACCAAAUGCAUAUCAAGUAGGUAGCAAGGAAUCCAGGUAACAAUCAUCUAUGAUUUUGCUAAGGUCGACAAGUUGAUAGCAUGCAUAUGAUAUAUAUGUGUAGUUAUAAGUUAAUAGGUAACAAGGAUGAUCCCAAGUUAUACUUAUCUUGAUCAAAGCUCUCCUGAGCCUGCUGGUCCUCAAGUCUUGGUCUUGAUCACCAACGUACGGCUGACCGUCUAUUCCCAAAUAUCAAUCAACAACACGCAAUCCAACGUAGACAAUCAUACAUGAAGCAAACAAGCUAUAAUUAGAACAAUACACCAAACAGUAGUAAAACAAAUUUAACAGUUUAUCAAAAUAUUCUACGCAGCGCUACGAUCACAUAAACGUAAAGUUCACGAAAAUCGGAAUUAAAACAGAGAAGUUAUGCAUUUUCCAAGAUUUCCUAUAGAGAAAUAAUUAAUUAAAUGCUACUGCGAAAAUAAAAAGUUUCUAAACAGUAAAAUAGUACCUCUAACUUGUAAAGCACGUAAAUACGAAUCUAACAAAAUUUGAAUGGACAAAAACGGAGUUAAAAUGAAUAUUUUAUGAACAAUUUAAGUUCAGUGGCAAAACUGUAAAUAACAGAAAACGAAAUUUGAACUCAGCCGGGCUGUACGCUUUCGAAAUUGGAAAACGUAUUUUUCUCGAGGCGCCUAGGGACUGCGGGUUAAUUGUGAAAUCUUCCAGGGACUCUUAAUCAAAAAGGCCGCCGAAGGGGUAUCUUCUAAUCCUAUCCCUUCAUCUUCGAUCAGACGGUCCACAAAUAGCAGAAGGGAACCAGGCGGCGGCCGACCACCUCCCAGAGCGCCAGCACGGUGGCCGCCUUGGGCGCCGCCGAGAACCUCGCCGGUAUUACUUCAACUCGCAAAUCCGUGCAACAAAAACUGAGCCAAGGACAUGGGAAGGUAGAGGAGAAGGUCGCGAGCUCACCUAGGCGCUGAACUUGGGCCGAGAGUGCGUAGAGGAGACGCGGCGCUCGCGGUGGCGGAGAAAGGCGCCGGCGAGAUCCGAAUGCGCAGCUGCGGUGGCUAGGGCUUGGAAAGAGCGCUCGGGUGGGGAAAACAAGGCAUGGGGCAUCGCGAGGAACUUUAUAGGGCUUCGGAUUACGCGCUAGGCAAGGAAAUCACGAAUCGAAUCCCAGGGAUUGGAUUCGGUAGUGCUGUGCCCGGCCUGAGUCCCGAUCCUUCACGGCUGGGGGAAGAAGGAAAGGGCACUGGCGCGUGGGUCCCGCGUCACAGUGAGAGAAGGGGCGGGGCCCAGCCGUCGGCUGAAGAAGGAGGGGAGAAGUGGGCCGGGACGCGGGGGAGGGGAGAGGUGCGCGGUUGGGCCGGUUGGAGACCUGGGCCGCGCACGGGGAGGGAAGAAGAAGGAGCAGGCCGGGGGGGUGAGGGGAGCUGGGCCUCGGCCUGGAUCCCAAGGGCUUUCUCUUUUUUUUCUUUUUUUUCUAAUUUAUUUUUCCAAAGCCUUUUCCAAAGAGAGUUUUGAAUGCAAAAAUAAAUUCUCACCAAAAACAAGCAUAGAAUAAAAUGUGUUCCAGCAUGAAUGCAAGACAUGUUUCUAAAACUUAUGAUAAAUUUUAAUUUGCACAAAAUUAUUUAUUUGCUUGAUUCAAAUGCUCACAGAUUAAUACCGAUGUAGCAUUUCAACCGGGAAGUAUUGCAGGUAUCGUUAUUUAUAUUUUUACCACUGGGAAGGGAUUGCUAAACAUCAAUGUUGAUUAUGGAAUGGAAUAUAUAAUUGAGUAUCUAUCAUUGCAUGUAUAAUUGAGAGUAUUUAUCUAUCUCUUUCAUACAGGGAUAAAUGUCACAUAAAAGAUAGAAAAAAUAUGAAUGGUGACAAAGAUAAUUAAUCUGAUAAGCAUAACUAGCCACAUAUAAAUAUGAUAAGCACCUCAACAGAUAUUCUAGCAAGUCAUUAGCAUGGAAUUAGGACGAACUACAAGAAUAUUUCCUAAGUUAUUCUUAACUAUAAAGUCUAGCAUAUCAUAGUUAGUGCAAUUAUACUUGGCAAUCAUUACGAGACAGGACUACGCCCAUGCAUAGUGAUAUUAUCAAAGAAUAUGAGAAACAUAGCAAUCACUCCCCUGUAAUAAUGUUGCUCUACCAGCCCUAUACACGAGAGGGGGACUAUAUAAGAAUCAAUUGAGCUGUCACUACCACGAACUACCCCGUGAUCUGGCAUAUAGGGUACAAUCGCAGAUAAAUACGGUAUAGGCACCACACCUACACAAUACUUAUCAUUUACCCACUGUACACAUGGAUAAAUGCUAUAUGAUCCUAAACAUGUUUAUAAUUCCAAUCUAACUAAGCCAAGCAUAUAACUAUGAUAAACUAAGAAUAAUAUAAUUGCGAAUAUAAACAAGUAGAGCAAAGUCAUAAUCAAUAUAUUGAAGUAGAACAAAGUCAUAUUCGUAAUAUUGAAGAACAAAGAUAAACAAUUGAAGAACAGUAGAGGAAUUACCAAGAAUCCUCUUGACAGAUCCGGAAACCAAUCGAAGAUUGACUCCUUCUAGUUCUAAUCCUAUGUAGCUAUGCUAAACUAGAGAUCUAAUUGAUGUGGUGGCUCUAGGGCUUGAUCAGAGGCUUCUUCUCCUACGAUGAAUAAUGAAUUAGGGUUUCUGAGGGAUAGAGGUCCUCUCCUCCAGGGGCCAGGGGGUCUGUUUAUAUAGUCCUUCCAAGUGAAUGUGGGCCAUCGGAUCAAACCGACAUUAAUCGCACGGUUUUCCUUGAUCCCUUAGGUCAGCGGAGCAUGAUCCGCGAGGUUGGUUGUGAUUGGCCCUCAGGCCAGGGCGGGCGCCCAAGGGGGGAGGGUGGGCGCCUGUUGACGGUCCUUAAUGCUCAUAUUUAACCGUCAACUAAUCAUAGAAAAGGAUCCAAAUGCAACCAACACCUAGACUUAGGGUUUUAUCUGACAGAAUUCCAUGAGUUUUGGUGUUUGUCUAUUUCUGCAGGGGGUUAUCAGGAAAUACGGAAGAAAGGCCCACACGUCGGGUUUACAUAGAGAUAUUAACGUGCCGCACAAUUUUCUAUCAUCUAGAAGACUCCAGAAGCCACGGGACCGAAGCGGAGGCCGAGAGGACUCAGGGACAGGGCGCCCGCCCUCCUCUCCUGGGCGCCCGCCCACACAUAGAGUCCAAUCAGGACUCUCUUUCGGGAUAUUGCUCCACCGACCUAAAGGAUCAAGGAUAACCAUUCAAUCAAUGUCGGUUUGAUCCAACGGCCCAUAUUCACUUGAAGGGACUAUAAAACCAGACCCCCCUGGCCCCUGGAGAUCAUACCUCUUCUACAGAAUCAAAGCUAGGGUUUCAAUUCUUCAUCCAAGUAGAGAGGAUCCCUCUAGUUCUUCUAGUUCUACCUCUAGUUCAUCUAGAUCUAGUUCUAGUUCAUCUAGUUCUAGUUCUAGUUCCUCUAGUUCUAGUUCUAGUUAGUUCUAGUUGUAAUCUAGAAAAUAGGGAGAGAGAAGAGGAGAGCGGAGGAGGAGCCGGAUCUGUCGGAUCUUCCUCAACAUUAUACUUUUGCAGCAUCUGGUUCAUUCUUCAUCGUUCUCUAGGUUCUUCAAUUCAUAAUUCCUGAGUUCUCUAACUACUUUUAUUUACAUUCAAGUUAUUUAUUGGAUUCCCGCUUGCAUCAAGUGCUCUAGUCUUUAUAACGCUAGAGUAGUAAUUAAUAGAUUAGACGUGGUGUUUAGUCUUGUAAUUACCUGGAAUUGCACCCAAUCCUGCGGAUUGUUGUGGUAGCCUUAGGGUAGUGACAGCUACUGAGAUACUGGAAACUCAGGCAAUCACUGCCCUGAGAUGCUUGAGGACGUAACUACUGGAGUAACCCCAUUGUGGAAGUAAUUACUAACCUUCUGCCAGUCAAGAGAGGCAAUCCAGGACGCCCCGUCAUCCCGAUCUCCAUCGGCAUGGUGGACUUCCCAGAAGCACUCUGCGACUUUGGCUCCAGUGUCAACAUUAUGCUCAGGGUACUCUAUGAAAAAUUCUUUACACAUCCUUUAUUAGAAACAGUCAUGUGUUCGCAGCUUGCAGAUCGUACGCUAAGUUUCCCAAAGGGAAUAUUGAAGAACUUCUGCGUCCAAGUUGGUACCUUGUAUGCCCCAGCAGCCUUCGUGGUGAUAGAGACCGGUUCUGAUGAGAGGGCACCCGUCAUCUUAGGGAGGCUAUUCCUGAACACCUCGGGAGCUGUCAUCUACGCUAGUGCUGCCAAGAUCAGUUUCUACAUCAAGGGGAGGAAGGAGACGUUUUCCUUUAAGAACAAGACUACACAAAUCUCAAAGCAAUCCCGACAUGAACCAAGGAAGAGGAUCAACAGGGGGGACAUGAACAAGCAAAUGUUGACUGAGUCAGCUAAGAUGGUCACUACAGCUCAAGGAGGUCAAGAUCGUCAACUCAAGUCGCCUUUCUUGAUCAAGUAGGACGACCCUAGUGUUCCAAGCAUCGAGUGCACAAUCAAUGGAUAUUCUUUUCAGAAGACACUCUACGACACUGGAUCUGACGUCAACAUAAUGGCCGCAGUCACUUAUCAGCUCCUGUUCGGAACCAUGCCCCUAAAACCGACAUACACUCAGCUCCAGAUGGCAGAUCAAACAUUCCGAAAGGUUGAAGGUUAUUGACAUAGGAGAAGACGAGUACGAUCCACCCAUCAUCCUUGGAAGACCGUUCCUCAGCUCCGUUAAAGCAAUCAUCUACAUUGGAACCGGAGAAGUCCACAUGCACUUCCUCUCUGAGAAGGUACGCCGCUAUUUUACUCACUCUAACUAUAUAGUUGAAGACUCUAAGCAGGUCAGGACAAGAAGGAGACGACGCAACCGCAAACAGAGAAGGCAAAAUCAUCAAGGACGAAUGAGUAGACUAUGAAGGAGAAGUUGUAAGGUCUGAAGACAUACAGCUUGAACAGAACUGUCCUGAGGAGACCGUAGCACCGAGUCAGGUGUGUAGAGAGAAGAUAGUUAUACACGAAGAGGAGGCACCGCCGGAACCACCGACUACGCCAUCCAGCAAAUCCCAGGACGAGUGAGAAUACGGAGAGUCCCGAUCGGAGGACUUAAACACACCGAACACCUUUCCAAGAGGUAAAUUUGGUAGUUAUCUUUUUCCUUCCAAUUAUUUAAAAUAGUUUGUUUAGUUAAUCAGGUUCAUAUCAUCUUGAAAAGAAAAUAAAAAUGUUAAAAAAUAGUAAGCCUCAUGUGAGUAUGCUCAUGGCAUAAAACCCAUAAGUACAUUCACUGUGGUGGCAUAAAAAUAAAAUAAAUAUAUUCCUGUCUUAUAAAAAUGGAAAUAUAAAAAUAGAUUUAUGAUCCCACCAAAGAAAGUAAUAUUUAUUGAGGAGGCUCAACAUGGUAAAGGCUAGAUAUUUAUGUUAACACUUAACUAGUUCCACAAAGCUUUGUUGUCUAUUUGAGCUCUACAGAAUUCAAGGAUCAAAGAAGACUAGCAGACGGAGGACAUCCUAAUCGCUGUCAGGGUGCUGCCAACAUUCAAAUACACCUCCGCCACUUGCUAGCUACAUCAGAAGGAAUUACGUCAAAACCCAGCUUGGGGGAGAGCAACCCCAUUUAUCCAGCUAAGUGCUCUACUCAUGUUUAUAUUUUACUCAAAUAAUAAAAAGAUGCAUAAUCAUAAAAACCCAAAUAAAGAUUUUGUGCUUAUAUAUAUAUAUCUUUGCUUAGCUUGCUAAAUAAAUAAAUAAAUAAAGUUUGCUAUGAACCCUCAUGAUAAGCUCUCACAUGGAAAUGAUGAAUAGUUGCUCUGCCAUGAUUAGUUCUAGAAAUUGAAAUCUCUCUCAAGUUUAGGCAUGACUGGUAUUAAUUAAGAUUUGCUCUAAACCUGAACUUGUGGGAGAGUACUUGAUCUAAAGUCCAAGUCGUUAACAGAUACGAUAUGGGAAGGUUGAACUGUUGUUUAUAUGUUCCUAGAGAUGCUAGAAUUCUGGAGAAUUUUAUCAUUGAAAAUCUUUAAAAUAUCACAUGAUGAGUUCCUCUAUGAUGAGAGUUUAAAUUCCUACCACAACCAUAUAUACUUGCUUGCUAGACUUUGAGCCACACAUUUAUUUUUUACUGCUUAUGAGCAUUGAGUGUGGUCAAGCUGUGUAGACCCUUAGGAGCUUGUCAUGUGGUUAAAAUCAAGAUUCACUUGCACGUUCACUCACACAUGCUGCUUCUACUCCGGAAGUACGCAUCCACAUAUAUCCACCCAUUUCCAUCUCCAGAAUCACCUAAAACUAUUCUACUCCUAAUCCAGGAGAGAAUAGCCAAAAACAUUUCUGUUUUCCCUGUGAAAUAAAUGCUCAAGUUAUCUUGGUUACUACCACUUGCUAUAUUAUUUUAGGAGAUGAGUGCUCUAAAAAAAGAGAAAAAAAGAAAGAAUACGAGGAAAUAAAAAGGGGCAAGUGCCCGGAACCUCGAAAGAAAAGAAAAAGUGAGACGAGAGGUAAAAAUGGACAAGUGUCCGACAGUAGAAUUAGGGGUACAAGAUACCCACCUGAGAGGAAAGAAAAGAAAAUAUAGAGCAUCUCAUUCUCCUCAAAAAGUUUCAAAAGAGCAAGAAAGGUAUGUAUCCCCUCAAAAGAGCACAAGUAGAAUUAGACUUUCACCAUUGUUAUCACCAUCAUUACCAUACACCAUUCAUUCGCCACACAUGCACAUCUUGAUUUGACUUAUUGACUUGAUCUUCUGGAUCCAUGGUUUGACUAUGCAAUAAAUGUCUUGUAAGUAUGUAUUAGCUGUCUCCCACCUAUGAGCUCCAGAUAUCAAAACCUUAUUAGAGUAGGGUGAGAGAGAAGGCAAUGCCACUAUGCCUCGUACCAAAAAUACCACAUACUUUGAGAGAAGGCAUACACCAUUACUUCCUUGGUAAGGAUCCAGAAAUACCACAAAAGAGAGACUAAAGAGAGUCAUACAAGAAAUCUCUGAGUUUUAUUUGAAAAUCUACAAAAACUCGAAAGCUAUAGUUAAUUGAAGAACAAGAGACAUGGCGCUUGACUAGACCGUUCUAUCUUUUAACUGCUCAAGACACAAGUGACGGUUGCAAGCCCCAUGGUGGAAGGUGCAAUGGGUAAGUUUAAAUCUUAACAGUUUACCCUAACCCAGAGAUGAGAUCUUGUUUGAACGCAUGUAUAUCUUUAAGGUAUGAAACCACUGCAGAAACUCUUGAGUCCAUCUUUGCUCAGGGACGAGGGAAGGUUAAUCUUGGGGGAGCUUGUUGACGGUCCUUAAUGCUCAUAUUUAACCGUCAACUAAUCAUAGAAAAGGAUCCAAAUGCAACCAACACCUAGACUUAGGGUUUUAUCUGACAGAAUUCCACGAGUUUUGGUGUUUGUCUAUUUCUGCAGGGGGUUAUCAGGAAAUACGGAAGAAAGGCCCACACGUCGGGUUUACAUAGAGAUAUUAACGUGCCGCACAAUUUUCUAUCAUCAAGAAGACUCCAGAAGCCACGGGACCGAAGCGGAGGCCGAGAGGACUCAGGGACAGGGCGCCCGCCCUCCUCUCCUGGGCGCCCGCCCUCACAUAGAGUCCAAUCAGGACUCUCUUUCGGGAUAUUGCUCCACCAACCUAAAGGAUCAAGGAUAACCAUUCAAUCAAUGUCGGUUUGAUCCAACGGCCCAUAUUCACUUGAAGGGACUAUAAAAACCAGACCCCCCUGGCCCCUGGAGAUCAUACCUCUUCUACAGAAUCAAAGCUAGGGUUUCAAUUCUUCAUCCAAGUAGAGAGGAUCCCUCUAGUUCUUCUAGUUCUACCUCUAGUUCAUCUAGAUCUAGUUCUAGUUCAUCUAGUUCUAGUUCUAGUUCCUCUAGUUCUAGUUCUAGUUAGUUCUAGUUGUAAUCUAGAAAAUAGGGAGAGAGAAGAGGAGAGCGGAGGAGGAGCCGGAUCUGUCGGAUCUUCCUCAACAUUAUACUUUUGCAGCAUCUGGUUCAUUCUUCAUCGUUCUCUAGGUUCUUCAAUUCAUAAUUCCUGAGUUCUCUAACUACUUUUAUUUACAUUCAAGUUAUUUAUUGGAUUCCCGCUUGCAUCAAGUGCUCUAGUCUUUAUAACGCUAGAGUAGUAAUUAAUAGAUUAGACGUGGUGUUUAGUCUUGCAAUUACCUGGAAUUGCACCCAAUCCUGCGGAUUGUUGUGGUAGCCUUAGGGUAGUGACAGCCCUAACGGUCGUCGUAUUCCACCUCGUUCGGAUCGGUGUUUGUAGGACCGUAGUCAGACCUUCCUAGCCCCCUUCUCAUCUCUUUCUGUGGUUAGUGCUCUGAUGUCCCGAAAUAGAUAAUCUUGAAGUAAUUCUUGAUUCUUAGAUCAACUAGAGAACUCUCAGGAAACUUCCUCUCUUCCCACCAAAAAUAAUUAUAUAGUUAUCCUUGGGCGAUCUUGGAUCUUAAUUAGUACACUCACGUUCUCUGUGGAAAAUCGAUACUCUGGAAUACUCCCGGGUGAAAGCUACAUCGGUAUCCGUGCGCUUACGGAUUUUUCUGUUUGCGUUUAAAAUAUCCAACAACGCCCUGCCCUCGGGCCCGAUCGGCCUCUCGUUCGUUCCCGUUGCUUCUGGACUCUUCUAGAUGUUAGAUAAUUGCGCGGCACGUUAAUAUCUCUAUGUAAACCCCACGUGUGGGCCUUUCCUCCAUAAUUCCUGAUAACUGUAACACCCAAAAAUUUUACUUAUUUAAAAUAGAUGAAUUGAAUUUAAAUGAAUUUAUUUUGUGAGCAUUUUCACUAUAGGAAAAUAAAUAAAUUUGGAGAAAUUAAAAUUUGAUAUAAGCUUAGAGAAAACUUUAUUGUUGCAUUCAUGCUGGAGCAUUCUUUUAUGUGAUGAGUGUUUUGAAAACAAAUGUCAAUUUGAUUAAAAAUCCAUUUGGAAAAUGCAUUGAAAUUUUGUUUAAAAAUAAUAAUAAUAAUAAAAAAAUUCUCUUUCCCUUCCUCUUUUCGGCCUGGAGGCCCAGUAACCCCCCCCCGCGCGCGCGUCCCUCUCUCUGGGCCGAGGCCCGCCAGCCAGCCGCCUUCCCCACCCUUCCCCUCUCUCUCUCUCUCUUCCGCUGACAGGCCGGGCCCGCAUGUCAGCUCCUCCUUCCCCAAACCGCCGCCCACUCCUUGCUUUCGGUUUCGAACCGAUCGGCGCCUCGCCCGCUCCCACGUUCUCUCCCACUCCUCCCCUCUUCCCCCGCGCUCAGUUAAAAAGUGGGCAGGGAGUCGCGCGCCUCCUUCCCCUCCCCAUUCCUCCUCUCCUCGUUUCUGCUCCCAUCCGCGAAAGCGCAGAGAGAAGCCGCCGUCCCGAGCCGUUUUCGUCGUUUCGCGUCGCGUUGGUGAGCUUCCCACUCUUCCCCGCUCCCUCCCCGUCCUUUUGCCGUGCGAAACGGGGUUCUUUAGUGCCCACCCGCGCUCGCCGGAGAGCUCCAUGGCCGCCGGCCAUGGAGUGAGCCGCUCGGCCCUUCCCCGGCCGCAUUUUUAGCCCGGGGUGAGUUCGCUUUCGCAUCCUCUCUCUCCCGGUGCUUUUGGAUCGCGAAACCGAGCCCCGUAGCUCUCUGCAGGCCAUCGCCGGCGAGCUUGGGCCGGCCAGCAAUGGCCGCCGCCGCGCUCUUCCUCCCCUCAGGCCGGCGCGCCGCUCCCUUCCCCCCCUCUGUGUUCUUCUUUCUAAUCUCGCGCGUCCGAUUCCAGAUCAACAACCCUCAUCGCACCGUACCCCUUCGUGGGUGAAUUUUGCUUAAGAAACCCCCUGGAAUUUAGGUUUCGAACCGCAGUCCUUAGCGCCUUCGAGUGAAUUACGCUUUCUCUGUUAGAAAACGUAUUAUCCGUCGGUUAGGUCAAAAUACGCUUUCAGGAAAUUACAGAUUUGCCACUGAACUUGUUUUGGCCAUAAAAUAUUCGUUAUAGCUCCAAUUUGACCCGUUCGAAUUGCGUUAGGUUCGUAAUUAAAUUCUCUUCAUGAUAGUACUACUGUUUCUGUAGUUUGCCACUUUUUAUUUUUAGGGUUAGGUUUAAUUAAUUAAUUGCCUAUAGGAAAUCGCCGAAAAGUCGUAACUUGGUCGUUUUAGCUCCGAUUUUCGUGAUCUUCGUAUCUAUGUGAUCGUAGCGAAUCGUAGGUUCUGUUUUUAAAUAUUUUAUUUCAUUUUUGAUCUGUUGGUGUACUGUUCUAAUUAAAUGAUUGUUUGUUUGUAUGAAUGAACUUGGAUGCGUGUUGUUGUGUGGUACCAAUCGAGCGCAGACGGUGACGUGUCCGUGGGUGACCCAUUUCACUUCGAGGAGCAGCAGGACCAGCAGCAGUUCCCCUUCACCGAAGGCAAGUAUAACAUGGGUUUCCCUUGUACACCUAUUCACUUAAUUAAUUACGCAUUUGCAUGUGUCUAAUUUUGAUAACCCUAAGGACAUCCUAGCUACCUGACUAAACACUUAUGACACCUAUGGGAAGAAUGCAUGUGGGUAGCUUUGCUAGUGCUUUAAUUAAUUGAGACUUUAUUAUCACUCUGACUUUAAUGAAUAUGAUGAUAAAUGUUGGGAAAAAGGGCUAUGGUGCAAUUGACUUCGGUCGGGUUGACCUAGACCCUCCGUAAGGACUUCUCUGUAAGCGACAAUCCGGGACUUACAGUGCAACCGUAAUGGUUAUAUGGCUCUAACUUUAGCUCAGUAAUAGGAUAUCAUCUAGCUGGUUAGAGGUUACCCGAAAGGGCGCAAGAGGGGCUUGCCACUUUGGGUAUAGAACUGCUUCUGUUCCUAUGUGUAUAGCCGUGAUGGAAAUGUGCCAUAGGAAAGGGGGGUUCUCUAUAUCUGCCUGCCGAGGAAACCUCGCGGCCCUAACUGGUUAGACGUGGCCUAUGGAAGGCUUCAUAGUGUUCCCUGCCCGCUCACCUUGGCAGUGUUAGUGGGUCUUGCAAACCCCGGGCAUAUGGGUAACACGACAUACGGGAAAAGUGCACACCUCUGCGCAGAGUUUGAUCAAACUGGUAUACUAGCCGUGCUCUCGGACAUGAGCGGCCUUGGACCCUUACGGAAUAGUUGGGUGUGGAUAGUUAUGGGAAAUAACUUAUGAAAAUCUGACGCAUUGAUCGUGAUGAUUAAUGUGGUUUAACCGUGAUGGUGAUGGUGUUAGCCGUGAAGGUUAACAGUGUUAUUAUCAUGUGCUCAUUUGGGCUAAUCGGGAGCUUAAGCAUAAUUGAUGAUUAAAUAGGAUUAAAACAUUGACCAAUUAAAAUGCUAACUGCAGUAGCCAGUGUUUGACCUUUUUGAGCCGCAUAAAAUCCUAUGUUAUGCUUGCGGAGUACGGGAUGUACUCACGCUUGUCUUUUUCUUUCUUUUUGGACAAAAUCCCGGAUGGGUAUCAGAUGAUAGCUUCUACGAGGAAUUUCCUGAGGACUUCUAGGUUGGCGAUCCUCCAGUCGGUCGUCCCUGUGUUGGAGCUUUUAUUUCAUAGCUAGUUAUGAGUUAUAUUUUCCGUUUGUCGCAGACUUUGAUAUAUUUGUGUUGUAAUAACGUUAUGUAAGAAACUUGUGAUGAUACAUUUGUAAUUUGUCGACUUGUGUGCGCGACUAUUCCUGGGGCGCACAUGAGAUUAUUGUACUCAAAUUUAUCCUUAAAUUUGGGUGUGACAAAAUUGGUAUCAAAGCAAGGCUGAUUGUAGGACGCAAACCUAGGUAGAAACAGUUGAUUUCAGGUUUUUUAUUUUCGCUUUAUUUAUUUCACUGCUCGCUUUACUUUCUUGUUAUUUUAUUAAAAUUAUAUAUUCUUACCCACUGUUCUAUUUUUGUAAACAUAUUGAUUCUAAUUCUUAAAAUAAAAUUUAUAGAUGCCUCGUCGCAGCGCAGCCGCGUAUCGCGCCCUCUUCGUCGCCGCCCGUGCUCCGCCAGUUGCACCAGCACCAGCUCCAGUACCUGCACCUGUGCCAGCACCAGUACCCGUACCAGAGCCCGAGGUCGUCGCCUCUGGUGGCGGCGAGGAGGAGGAGCCUAUGGACACGGGGUCCCCUACGCCUACACCUUCAGCUCCUACACCAGUGGCGGUACCAAUCCCUCAGGCUGCCGCUCCAGUUCCACCUGCGCCUGCACCACCUGCACCUGCACCACCUGCGCCUGCACCCCACGCGUCGACGGGUUUAGCACCGACGCCUCAGUACCCACAGGUUGUUCCAGAGAUGGGAUGGACCUCCAGGAACAAGUUCAUGGAGGCGGACGAGGACGCUCACUACCACACUCUGCUCACGGGUGUGUUGGCGAGCUAUUACCCGGAGUUUGCUGCCACCGUCCGCUACCUUUGCUCGGAGCACAAGCACCCAUUGGAGAACACCUACUGGAAGGCCGAGGUGAUCAUCACAGCUCGGAACAACGUCGACAACUCGGACGAGGUGGAGUCUAUCCACGAGAGCAGGGUUAGACGUGCUUCCGCCUACGAGAGCAUGGAGGAUGCAGGUCAGGCCGCGUACUUUCACUACCAUGGCCGCCGUUUUGAGGCCAUGCAGGAGGAUAGGUACCGGUUCCUUCCCCGCAACGACCCAGAUGGCAGGACAUGGCAUGUCCUGGCACCUCCUGCCGGUGACCCUACCCUGGAUACGACUGUGAGACACGUCAGUGCCAUUCAGGAGAUGAACGUGACACUGAGGCAGGAGCUGUGUGUUGCGCAGCAGGCGGGGAAGCGCCUCCAGCGUCAGGUGGAUGAGCUGCGUGGUCAGCUUGGACAGCCACCCAUCUACAAGAAGAAGCCCCGCAAGUUCGUUCUCCAGGAUAGAGCUCCUUAGAUUUCCCAGUACUUUCUAGAUUGACGCUAGCACGAGUAUUUCGGUAAUGUGUGGCAUGUGAACUUUAGUGAGUUGCUGUUUGUGUUGAUGAACAAUUAUGAUUUGGAGUUUUGUUUGAUUGUGGAAACAUGUGGGCCUGUCCGCAUGUUUCUAAACCUUAAUCCUAGAAGUAAAUGUUGUUUAAAUUCGAGGUUGGGUUACUUUAUCUUGUCUCAGUCAUGCUGUUUCUGGAGCGGUCUGUGAUGUUUAUUCAGUAUCUCAUUAUCAGUUCAGUCAAAAAUUGCGAAAUUAUUAUGGUGAAAACUAGACUGGUAUAUCUUUCAUCUCCCACUGGAAUCACCUCAUUAUCUGUUCGGAUCUAUGAGAUAUGUUCGUUUUAAUCUGCUGUACCUGCGCAGACUGAGAACCAGAGCAGAACCUGAUGAAUCACAAUUUUGAUUAUGUUACUGUUGGAAUGAGUAAAUGUGGUCUGAAUAAAGUUUGUAGAGAAUUUCCUAACCAUUCCAACGAUGUAUACCAUGUUCCUUUUUAAUCUAUAGAUUCUGAGAUAAGCACGGAUUACUGACCUGCUGAGUUUGAAACUUGUCCAGAAAACUGCUAGACUUGUUUUUAUUCAUUAUAAGCGAUGAAUAAUUAUUUUUGGAAGAUGACUAAAAGCCGUGAAUCUUUGUUGGAAGCAGAUGGACGCCGAAGGAGCACCCGCUGGUCGUGGACGUGGCCGUGGCCGUGGUCGUGGCCAUGGACGUGGUGUACCUGAGAAUCCACCACCACCACCGCCGCCGAUGACUAUCGAGCAGCUCAUGGGUAUGCAAGCUAAUCUGAUGCAAGCCAUGAUGAACCGUAUGAACAAUGAACCAGUAGUAGCACCACCGCCGGUUCAAGUCCGUGACAAGCGUGGGGAGUUCUUGAAGGGACGUCCCCCGGUGUUCACCCAUGCCUCUGAUCCACUGGAGGCAGACAACUGGUUAAAAGCAGUCGAGAAGCAGCUGAACAUAGCCCAAUGCAACGACCUGGAGAAAGUGCUAUACGCAUCAGGUCGGCUGCAAGGACCUGCACAGGAGUGGUGGGAGUCCUAUCAAUAUGGACGCCCGAACAAUGCUCCGCCAGUCACCUGGAAGGAGUUUACGGAAGGGUUCAGGUCCCAUCAUAUUCCGGAGGGCCUGAUAGAACUGAAAGCGGAAGAGUUCCGGUCUCUCAAGCAGGGAUCGAUGUCAGUCAGUGAAUAUCGUGACAAGUUUGCUCAACUGUCACGAUAUGCUCCAUAUGAGGUGGCCAGGGACUCUGACAAGCAGCGUCUCUUCCUGAAGGGUCUGUAUGAUGGACUGCAGCUGCAGCUGAUGAGCAACACCUACCCUUGUUUCCAAGAAUUGGUGAACCGCGCUAUUGUCAUCGACAACAAGCGCAAGGAGAUGGAUGCAAAGAAGAGAAAGCUCCAGGGGCAGCCGUCGGGCAGCAACACUCGCCCACGUGCGUACCCUCAGCAGGGAUUCCCUCAGCGCAGUCAAGGACCACAGAAUCAGUGGAACCGUGGUCAGUUUCCUCAGCGUCCCCAGUACUACCAGCAGCACAAUCACCAAAACCAACAACGUCCCAAGCAGCAAUAUGGCAACCAGAAUCAGCAACGCCCCCAGCAACAGGUCAGCAAUCAGGCACCACGCCAAGGAGUACCCAAUAAUGCUCCUGGCAAGAGUGCAGCACCCAGCGGCAAUCCCAAUGCCUGUUACCGCUGCGGAGAGGUGGGACACUAUGCCUACCAGUGCCCCAAGAAGCAGAAUCCACCAGCCUAGCAAAACCAGAACAACAAUCAGAGGCCUGCUCGACCUCCGUUCUCUGGGAAAGUGAACCAUGUGUCCACUGACACAGCUCAGGAAGCACCUGAGGUUAUGAUGGGUACGUUCAACAUCAACUCCAUCCCUGCUACAGUACUGUUUGAUUCUGGUGCUUCACAUUCUUUUAUCUCCCAAGCUUUUGUUAGAGUGCAUAGCAUCCCACUUUGUGCACUGAAAAAUUCCAUGCUAGUAAAUUCACCGGGAGGCACCAUGCCAGCUAAUUACUGGAGCCCCUCCACUAGUAUAUCUCUAAGGGGGGUAGAUUUCAAGGUGAAACCUAUUGUGCUAAGAACCAUGGGAAUUGACCUCAUACUUGGUAUGGAUUGGAUGAAGCAGCAUGGGGCAGUAAUACAGUGUCAGGAGAGGGCUGUGGUGGUGACAUCACCAGGUGGGGAUAGAAUAAGUGUGGAUGUGGCAGUGCAGCCUCAGCCGACUGCUACAGUGAAUCAGUUGAGUGGUGGUAAUCAAGAAGACCAGGUGGUGGACGAGUUCCCCGAUGUUUUCCCGGAUGAGUUGCCAGGUAUGCCACUAGACCGAGACAUUGAAUUUCUUAUUGAGCUUUUACCUGGAACUGCACCCAUAGCAAAAAGACCAUAUAGAAUGGGGGUAAAUGAAUUAGAGGAACUUAAGAAACAACUUAAGGAAUUGCAAGAAAAAGGGUUUAUUCGUCCUAGUUCUUCACCAUGGGGUGCACCGGUAAUCUUUGUUGAUAAGAAAGAUGGCACUAGGAGGAUGUGUGUGGAUUAUCGGUCAUUAAAUGAAGUCACUAUUAAAAACAAGUACCCACUGCCUAGAAUAGAUGACUUAUUUGACCAACUGAAAGGAGCAUGUGUGUUCUCCAAAAUUGACCUCCGAUCUGGCUAUCACCAGUUGAAAAUCCGUGCAACUGACAUACCUAAGACAGCUUUUACCACAAGGUAUGGCUUGUAUGAGUAUACAGUCAUGUCAUUUGGGUUGACCAAUGCACCUGCAUACUUCAUGUAUAUGAUGAACAAGGUGUUCAUGGAGUAUUUGGAUAAGUUCGUGGUAGUAUUCAUUGAUGAUAUAUUAAUCUUCUCCAAAACCAAAGAAGAACAUGCUGAACACUUGAGGCUGGUCUUGCAAAAGCUUAGAGAGAAUAAAUUGUAUACCAAGAAAAGCAAGUGUGAGUUUUGGUUGGAUGAGGUCUCAUUUUUGGGACAUGUGGUCUCUAACGGUGGAAUAGCCGUAGACCCCAGUAAAGUGCAGGAUGUGCUAAAUUGGAAGCCCCCAACCAAUGCUAGUGAGAUCCGUAGCUUUUUGGGACUAGCUGGUUAUUAUAGGAGGUUUAUUGAAGGCUUCUCUAAGUUAGCAAAGCCCAUGACAGCUGUUGACGGUCCUUAAUGCUCACAUUUAACCAUCAACUAAUCAUAGAAAAGGAUCCAAAUACAACCAACACCUAGACUUAGGGUUUUAUCUGACAGAAUUCCACAAGUUUUGGUGUUUGUCUAUUUCUACAGGGGGUUAUCAGGAAAUACGGAAGAAAGACCCACAUGUCGGGUUUACAUAGAGAUAUUAACGUGCCGCACAAUUAUCUACCAUCUAGAAGAGUCCAGAAGCCACUGGGCGCCCGCCCUCCCUUACUGGGCGCCCGCGCUCCCCCUGGACCAAUCAGGGUGAAGUUCGGGGAUCAUGCUCCACCGACCUAAUACUUCAAGGAAAACCACACGAUCAAUGUCGGUUUGAUCCGACGACCCAGAUUCAUCUGAAAAGACUAUAUAAGCAAGGCCCCCUGGCCCCUGGAGAUCAUACCUCUUCUACAGAAUCAAAGUUAGGGUUUCAAUUCUUCAUCCAAGUAGAGAGGAUCCCUCUAGUUCUUCUAGUUCUACCUCUAGUUCAUCUAGAUCUAGUUCUAGUUCAUCUAGUUCUAGUUCUAGUUCCUCUAGUUCUAGUUCUAGUUAGUUCUAGUUGUAAUUUAGAAAAUAGGGAGAGAGAAGAGGAGAGCGGAGGAGGAGCCGGAUCUAUCGGAUCUUCCUCAACAUUAUACUUUUGCAGCAUCUGGUUCGUUCUUCAUCGUUCUCCAGGUUCUUCAACUCAUAACUCCUGAGUUCUCUAAUUACUUUUAUUUACAUUCAAGUUAUUUAUUGGAUUCCCGCUUGCAUCAAGUGCUCUAGUCUUUGAAACAUUAGAGUAGUAAUUAAUAGAUUAGACGUGGUGUUUAGUCUUGUGAUUACCUGGAAUUGCACCCAAUCCUGCGGAUUAUUGUGGUAGCCCUAGGGUAGUGACAGCCCAAACGGUCGACGUAUUCCACCUCGUUCGGAUCGGUGUCUGUAGGACCGUAGUCGGAGCUUCCUAGCCCCCUUCUCAUCUCUUUCUGUGGUUAGUGUUCUGAUGUCCCGAUAUAGAUAAUCUUGAAGUAAUUCUUGAUUCUUAGAUCAACUAGAGAACUCUCAGGAAACUUCCUCUCUUCCCACCAAAAAAUAAUUAUAUAGUUAUCCUUGGGCGAUCUUGGAUCUUAAUUAGUACACUCACGUUCUCUGUGGAAAAUCAAUACUCUGGAAUACUCCCGGGUGAAAGCUACAUCGGUAUCCGUGCGCUUGCGGAUUUUUCUGUUUGCGUUUAAAAUACCCAACAAGCUUUCUGGCGUCGUUGCCGGGGAACGGUAGCUGUGCUAGUUUCGAACCAAGUCGUCCGUGUAUCCUUUUUCUUUUCCUUAUUUACCACAUUCACCUUACCAUUUUCACCAUACCACAUGGCUUUCACUCUAAGCAUUAAUGAGCAUGGAAUUUAUUUCAUAGCCACUCCAUUUACUCCAUGCUCAUAUGCAACAUCUUCCCAAUCCAUAGGUUUUUCCAACAUCACCACAUUCGAGAUCUCCAACCCCCUCAUCCUUUCUAUUUAUAAAAACUUUAAAAGGGCGGUUGUCGAUGCAUAUGUCGAUAUUAAAUAUUGCAGAUCUCGUUGAGUUGAUCUUGAUAUAGGUCAGCGUUGGAGGGGAAACCACUUCACUGACAUAAAUUGAUGGUUUCCCAAGGACAAGCUUAGUGUCCUAAAACAAGCACUGAUCAGAUGUAACAUGAGCUUUUAAUUAUUUGCAACAUUACCUUGUGUGUUGAGCAUAUAGGAUAAUUGUAAAAAAUAUUCCUUCGGGUAUUCUUGUCACUAACCUUUCCAGGAUUGGAGCAAGAAGAUCGGAUGAAUGACAAGCACAAGGUAUGUCCAACCAAUCAUCAUGCAACAUUAAAUUAAAUUCAUCCAAUCUUGAAUUUUGCAAAAUUCAAGCUUGGGGGAGUACUUCGCAUAAAAACAUUCUUUGUCAUGUUGCUAUGUUAGUUGUCCCUACCUUUGAGACAUGCUCAAUUUGUUAAAUACUAAUCACACUACUUCAUCUCCACUUGAGUAGAUCUCUAUAAAUGCUCUCAUGGUACCUUUAUUUGCUUUAGUAUAUGUCUAGGUUUGGAGUAGUCUCAUUUACCUCUUAACUAAGCAUGGUGCUUAGUUUAGGAAUGAUGAUAUUACUUCCAAAGGAUUUUAAAUUAAGCAUGAUGCUUAGGUUAAAAUUCCCUCCUAAAUCAAAUUAGACAUGGUGUCUAGGUAGAUCUUUGAGCCGAUAGUAUGCUAUAGUAGAUAUUGGAUAUUUUUUUGGACUAACCCCUACAGGAAAACUUUCAAUAUUGACCUGGGAAGUCCUGAGAUAAACUCACAUUGGAGAUAAAGAGAGAGACACACGAAGUUUAACAAUUUACACAAGGAAGGCAUAGCUCACAAGAGAUGAUCCAUGGAGGGUGCCAAAAACACGAUGCACAACCGCUAAGAGAGGAAAGCUUCCACAAGGUGAUACUGUACCAUCACUCUUCAAGUAAGGUAACAUCUUAAAGUACUUGACUAUCACUUCUAUAAGCUUCUCCUUAGUUCAGGCGUUCACAUGAAU
RNAcentral lists this long non-coding RNA (33900 nucleotides) under Sorghum bicolor (sorghum). Its description in RNAcentral is "long non-coding RNA (SBIC_LNC000658)". Lineage: Eukaryota; Viridiplantae; Streptophyta; Magnoliopsida; Poales; Poaceae. The record is from RNAcentral.